Molecule: long non-coding RNA, 706 nt
Organism: Maylandia zebra (zebra mbuna)
Lineage: Eukaryota; Metazoa; Chordata; Actinopteri; Cichliformes; Cichlidae
Source: RefSeq, a predicted model, not a curated record
CAGGCUGUGCGGUAGCUUCUAUAAAAGCGCCUCGCGCCCGCUUCUCUGCCUCAUUCCUCGGACGACUUACUGAUUAACAACUUAAAACACUCAAAAAUACAGACGGCUCUUCAAAGAUGAAGGAUCACGAUGCUCAUCCUGACUUCUCGACAUCAGCAGAUGCUUGAUGGUGCUGUGAAAGCCCAGAGAUGUGACUGGUCUGUAGGGGACUGAGGAGGUGUCCUCAGGUCCGAGUCCUAUCGCUAACAGACGGUCCUGAUGUUGGAUCCAGAUGUGCAUUCUUGGAUCAGCUGCAGGAGUCCCACAAAAGGCAAAGUGGAGAUGUGAACACCUUGCUGUCUGACUCGUUGCUGCUCUGCUGAACGAGCGGGCUCGCGACUCAUCACCAUUCAGAAGAUGAUUAAACACUCAUGGUUCUGUGUGAGGGAUGGAGACCCAGUGUGGACCACACCAGAGUGACUGAGAUGGGGAAAAGUUCAAGUUCUUUACCUGGUGUGAAGCCUCAGACACUGAAGCACAAUCAAGCACAAGUCUGUCACUUCAUAAUAAAUCUAAAUGGUGCUGUUUCCUCAAAAGCUGGAAAGUGAUGUUGACAGAUUUUCACCUGCAGGAAUCGGUGUUCAGACCCUGCUCGUGCUAUUACGUCUGGAUUGUGACCUGAUCCUGUUGACUUCAAUUUGUAACAAUAAAAUAUUUGUUAUUGACU